RNAcentral lists this ribosomal RNA (305 nucleotides) under uncultured bacterium. Its description in RNAcentral is "partial 16S ribosomal RNA". It matches the Rfam family "Bacterial small subunit ribosomal RNA", at positions 508 to 809 of the family's 1533-position model. The record is from RNAcentral.
ACAGCAGCCGCCGCGGUAAUACGAAGGGUGCAAGCGUUAAUCGGAAUUACUGGGCGUAAAGCGUGCGUAGGCGGUGAGUUAAGUCUGCUGUGAAAUCCCCGGGCUCAACCUGGGAAUGGCAGUGGAUACUGGCUCGCUAGAGUGUGUCAGAGGAUGGUGGAAUUCCCGGUGUAGCGGUGAAAUGCGUAGAGAUCGGGAGGAACAUCAGUGGCGAAGGCGGCCAUCUGGGACAACGCUGACGCUGAGGCACGAAAGCGUGGGGAGCAAACAGGAUUAGAGACCCGUGUAGUCCCUGUCUCUUAUAU